This is a long non-coding RNA of Vicia villosa (hairy vetch), 340 nucleotides long. RefSeq lists it as uncharacterized. NCBI's taxonomy places the organism in Eukaryota, Viridiplantae, Streptophyta, Magnoliopsida, Fabales, Fabaceae. The transcript is spliced from 3 exons. The record is from RefSeq and is a predicted model, not a curated record.
AUACAAGUGUUCCGAAGUCAACGGGACGCACAGGUAUCCCGGACUAAAUCAAACAACAUUACUUGGAUCCAAGUGCAGUGUCCGCAACAGCGAAACAGUUACGAUUGCGGAUACUUUGUUUUGAGGUUUAUGAAAGAAAUCCUUCAGGCGAAUCAAUUAGAGAUUCCGCUCACGUACCUUGACGAAUUCCGUGCUGCUGGGUACCCGAAGCUUAAGUUGGAAGAAAUCAAAGAGGAUUUGUGUCAAUUUUAUAUUAAGCAAUUUUUCAUGUAGGAUUUGUGUCGAUUUGAACUAUAAUAUUAUUGAUGUUGUAAUGAUGUAUAUAUAUAAUUUUGGAUAU